This 310-nucleotide ribosomal RNA is filed under the name Polytoma uvella. RNAcentral's name for it is "LSU rRNA". It matches the Rfam family "Bacterial large subunit ribosomal RNA", at positions 700 to 1067 of the family's 2925-position model. The record is from RNAcentral. Lineage: Eukaryota; Viridiplantae; Chlorophyta; Chlorophyceae; Chlamydomonadales; Chlamydomonadaceae.
GAUCUCCAAUAAGACCCGAAGCUAACUGAGCUACCGUCGUGCAGGUGUGGAGUAGUCACGGCCGAACCAGUGUCUGUAGCAAUAGACUUGGGUGACGCGGCGGUAGGGGUGAAAGGCCAAUCAAAGUUAGGGAUAGCUGGUUUUCCGCGAAAUCUAUUUGGGUAAAGCGGGGUAGUGGGACCGCCGAGUGUAUCAGCGAGAAGAACGGCGGAUCCGACACUCUAGUCAGACUGCUGGUGGUAAGGUCGGUAGUCGAAAUGAAAAGAGUCACGAUGUGUUGCUAAGGCCCCCAAAGUCCACGAACAAUACG